Molecule: long non-coding RNA, 5448 nt
Filed under: Octopus vulgaris (common octopus)
Lineage: Eukaryota; Metazoa; Mollusca; Cephalopoda; Octopoda; Octopodidae
Source: RNAcentral
UUUUGACACAGCUCAGUAUGACCCCAAAAAACUGGUAUUGCUAGUUGGUAUUAUUAGGCUGUAGCUGGCAUAAUAAAAUAGAGUUUUUAUAUGCAAAUCCAAAACAUUUCCUGUAAAUGAACUUAAAGGAUAUAUACAAUCAUCAUCAACUUCCUGCAGUUUUCAAAUUCUCUCACAUGACAUUGGUUGACCAAUGGCUCUAUUAAAAGACACUUACCCAAAGUGCUGUAUGGUGGGACCAAAUCUAAAACCAUGUAGUUGCAAAGCAAACUGCUUAAUCACACAAUCAUACUUCUAUUUCCUUCAUAAUGCAAUAAAGUUACUGGGAAGGAAUUUCUCUAGUUUGUAGAAUUAAAUAUGUGAGAAAAUCUUUUUUUGCUCGUGAAUAGUCAAUUGAAAACUUUGUUAAUCUUGAGAAAUAUAGAGUAACAAUUUUGUUGAGAAAUAUGUAACUAACAGUUUGUGAUUAACUGUUGUGGAGUUAGAUAUUUUAACUGAUAAAAGCUAACAGAAUAGCUAAAGAGCAGUUCUUGUGAGUUAUGUUAAUCUUACUAAAAUGUUAGACUAACUUCAGUAGUCAGUUGUUAUAAAUGUUGUUUAUAUUUAAGUAAUGUCAAUAUCAUUUCAAUAUCCAGUGGUAUCUUCAUUAGUUUUUAUAAAGAAACUUGGUCUAAUUGUAGCUGUUACUCAGUAUCUUGUUGUUGUUAUUAAUAUGACUGAAGUAAAUUGUGAUAGUUGUCAGGAUCAGUGGAGUGACAGACAUUUAGUUACAGCCCUUUACAUUUUGAGUUCAAAUUCUUCCAAGUUCAACUUGACAUGUCAUAAAUGAAAUAAAGUAUCCCUUAAAAAUUGGGAUCAAUCUUAAUGAACAACUAUGUCUUUCCCCAUAAUGAUGUGGGCUUGUGUUAAUGCUAAAAUUCAGCAAUAUUUCUGUGAAUAGGGCAGCAGAAAUGACCAGGAUAGUUCAGUCCUGGACUAAAUGUUACAGUAUUUAGUUUCAUGUUACAGUAUUUAGUUUUAUUAUGUUACAGUAUUUAGUUCAAAUCCUGUUUAAAGUCAACUUUACUAUCUUUUACAAACCAACUUUGGUUUUCAUUUCACUUGAGUUGAAAAAAUAAAUAGCAGCAAGACAAGCAUGAACACCAUUUUUUUCAACAAGAAACUAUAUUAUUUCACUGAUUUGGAAAUUAUUUUAAAUUUGUUAAUUCCUAUUUUGUCUGAAUUUUUACCAUUGUUGAAUUUGCAACUUCGUGUCUUGCCAUUUUUAUGUCUUUCUAGUCUGUUAGAUCUGUUUCCUAUUAUCUCCUCUCUAAACUUUAUUCUGGUUGGAAAAAUUGAUUUUGUGAUAUGUUAUAAAUAGCUAUUGGGUAUGGUAUUUUGAAAGAAAUAUUUUUGUUUUAUUUGUUAUCCUUGUAAAACAUUUCUGUGACAUAACUAUUUUCAGGCAAUUAUGACUUCAUAUAUAAAAUAUAUUGUAAGAGAGUACUCAGUAUGUUGGGUACAACAGAUGCUUUUAUUAUGAUAUUGUAGAUUAAUGCUAACAUGCCAUCUUAAAGAUGGCAUGUUGAAGAUAUUUACAAAAAAUUUGUACUCAACCAAUUAAAAAAUUCUUUUUUGCCCAGUCUGAGUUCAUAUUUACAUAUUCUUAUCUAUAAAGAUGUGUGUAUAUAUAUAUGCAUGUAUGUAUGUAUAUAUAUAUAUAUAUAUAUAUAUAUAUAUUUGUGUGGUGUGCCUGCAUAUACAUACAUAUGUAUAUAUAUAUGUUUGUUUUAUGUACAUAUAAUUACAUCAGGAGCUGUGUAGUGAUUGUGAGUAUAUCUAUUAGUUUCACCUUUGAAUGUAAUUUUAUUUUUUAUGCUCCUACUCCUUUUUCUCUCCAUCUCUCCCCUUCUUUUAUAUAAAAACACAUUCUCUCUUUCCCUCACCAUAUCACCAUAUAUAUAUAUAUAUGUGUGUGUGUAUUGUUGAAAUGUGCAGAAAACAAAUUAUUUGUAUCGCAGAUAUUUCAUGACAUAUGUUUCAAUGAUCACUCAAACCAAUUAGAGAUCAUUUCAUCAGAUGGUGUGAUGGUGUUCAUUUCAUCUAUUAUUGCUAUGCUAUAAUCCAAGUCCCUGUUAAUGCUGGUUUAUAGACAACAUUAGAGAAUAAGUGUUUAGUAUAGGUGAAACUUGAACCCUAAUCCCUAUGGUAACUUAUUGUGCAUUUCAGCACAUCAGUAUAUAUAUAUAUAUAUAUAUAUAUAUAUAUAUAUAUAUAUAUAUAUAUAGUGUUGAGUAUUCUUUUUUCUUGCUUGUAAAUCCAUACAUGUAUUAUAUAUAUAUAUUUAAUAAUAGAAGCAAAAUACACUAGAUCUUGGACUACCUCCUCAUUGAAAUCCAUAAAACAUGUAGUUAUUUUCAUGAAGUCUAAUAAGAAAAUUUUAAGAUUUUGAUCAAGAUGUUUUGUUGAAGGAGAAACAAGAUGCCUCUUUGGAAGACUGAAAAUAGGGCUGAGGAGUAUAAGAAACCUGUAGAGGAAUGGAAGAUGACCAUACAUAGAGGAUGGUAGUUGGUAGUAACAUGAUAGAAUAAAGAAGAAAAUCAGGGAAAGGGAAGGAGAAAAGGGAUAAUGAAGUGAAUAGAAAUAAUAAAGGAACAUGUCUAUACAUUUAUGCAGGAGUGUGUGUGUGUGUAUGUAUGUAUGUAGAUACGUCUAUAUAUAUAUAUAUAUAUAUAUAUAUAUGUAUAUAUAUAUAUAUUAUGUAUGUAUAUAUAUAUGUAUGUAUAUAUGUAUGUAGCUGGACUCAAGAGUCAUCUUCGUAGUCAUAAAGUGAGACAGAUGAGUGACAACCUGGCCACUGGUGGUGGUGUAACACACCAUACUAAUCAUAUCUGUCGGGCAUGUGGACAAGAGUGUAAUUCGGCAGGAGGACUUAAAUGACAUGCAAAGGUACAUGAAGCCCAGUUACAACUACAGCUGGCUAUUACCGGUAAAGGUUUUAGCUGCCAAUUCUGUACAAGACAUUAUUGAUCUUUUGCUGGGCUAAAAAGUCACAUUUGAUCACAGCACCAAUAACAGUUAAGCUUCGUGCAAUGGCCAUACUCGAUAACGAGGGGGCAGCCAUAAUAAUAUAUGUAUGUGCACUUGGCAAUAUUGACAACUCUUCAGACAUGGUUGUUGGAAGCAUGAAAAGUUGUGAAUAUUAUGAAGUACAUUAUUUGAUAUGAAACUGAUGGUAACACAUUGACCAGUUAUAUACUAUAAUCAGCAAUAUACUAUCUGAUGAUAUAAAAAUGUAACCAUUCUAUUUCUCAUAUUGAGUGAGCUUUCUUCCUGACUUAUAGACAACUAACUGAUAAUACAUACAUAUGCACAUCAUCAUCAUUUAACAUCUACUUUUCCAUGCUUGCAUGGGUCAGAUGAAGUUUGUUGAAGCAGAUUUUAUAGUCAAAUGCUCUGUCAACAACUAUCACAUGAUUCCAAGCAUGGUGUGUGUGUAUAUAUAUACAUACGCACACACACACAUAUUUGAUGUGAUAGACUGUUUUUACCUACUUGGUCAAAUCUAGAGGUGUUUUGUUUUAUCUAUGGCCAGAAUCCUUUUCUCUUCUCCCCUUUUCAUAUAUAUGUUUCUUAUGAUACAAAACAUUCUUUGUUUUAAAGUAUUCAUAUUCAAUUAAAAUUUUCCAUUAUAAUUCUAUACAUUUGUUAUAUUCCAAAUAGUAGCUUAAUUGUAAAAGAAUUAUUUUACUAAAUUCCCUUAAAAGACUUUGAUUAUGUUAAAAAUUAAUUGGAAUUCCCUAAACAGUGUAUUUCCUUAGACAUAGGGUCAUGAUUGGUUAUUCUACACUGCCUCAGUUAAUUUAGCUGUUAGCAAUGAGUACCAGAUGAUCAGGAAAUGUUUACUUGUGACAGACUAGUGUUCUGUCCAUGUAGUGGUUUAUCUCUUAUCUAAUUAACGCUAUAAAUAAAGUGAAAUUAAUUACCAUGUCUUAAGAGGCAUUACAUAUUUUUACAUUAUAUGUAUUUUUUUAAACUUUUUCUCCAGAAUGAAAUAUUUUAGUUCUUUUGAGAAGUCAGAACAUAGCUUAAGCAGUUUUGUUUUCAGAAGUUGAUUUAUCCUGGAUUAGAAAUUCUCAAUAGGAAUGAGAAUUUUAAUUAAGGUGUAAUUUUAUUUUUUACUUUUUUUUGUUUAAUGUUUGGAAAUUGAUGAGUUGUUUCAUGGAUGAGUAAUAUAUCUACUAGAUUUAUAAUAAAAUCAUAAAUGAUAAAAGGAACAAAAGCUUUUUAUUAUUAGUCAUUUUACUAAAUUUCCUUUAAAUUCUUCGAUUAUUUUCAAUAUUAAUUUGAAGCCCCUGCACAAUGUAUUUCCUUAGAGCUUUUGAAUGAUACCACUCUGCUGGCUAAGUAAGCAGGCCAACAUUAUUAUUAUGUAUAUAUUCAAUGAAGAAUUAAGUCAAUUUAAGUUUUCUUUGAGUCUUACAUUUUACUUAUAUUCUCUUAAAAUGUUUAUACAAAAUCUAAUUCCUACAACCCAUCCACAUCCAUUUUAAUUUCCAUCUCAGAAUGGAAAUUCUUUUUCCUGAUUUCUUCACUGAAUUUCAUGUAACUUGAAAAUUCUUUUUCUUUUUUUUUCCUUUUUUUGAAUCUACUUGUUAUAAUAAAAAAAAAUUUAUUUUUCUGAUUUUAUCAUACAUAUAUACAUUUUUGAAUCAAGCCUGGUAUUACAUAGAAGGUUAAAAGCCAUGCCUCACCUUUACAUGGAUGAUAAUGAUAAAUAUAAUUAUUGUUUGUCAUUUCCUUUUCAUGUCUUCAAACCUGGUACUUAAAUUUUAAGCAAUUCAUUGGUUAUCUCAUUUUACUAAUUGAGAUUAUUAAUUUAAAGAAAGGGCAGUGAAGAGCAGAAUCUAUCAAAUGAUGGACAGAAAAUGACUUAUGGUAUUUAGUUAUAUACUUUUAUGUGCCAAAAUUAACUUUGCAUUUCAUCCUUUUAGGAGUUGGUAAACUCAGUCUCAGUGAAAUAUUGAAGUUGAUUAAUCAGCUUUUUUUUGCUUUUUUUUUUUACCCCUCACCAGAAAAUGCUUUGUCUAUUUUCUUAUGUUAGAAACCAUUAUUAAAAUGGGCAAGUGAGAUGACGAGAUAUAAUUGAUACAUUGAGGGAUGAAACACUUUGCUGUAUUUGGUCAUGAUGCUGUUUGUCCUGAGCUCAAAUCUCACCAGUGUCAAUUUGUUUUGCCUUUCAUUCUUCUGCAGUUCAGUAAAAUAAGAAUCUGUCAUGUUGGGAUUAUUCACACUCUACCCACCAGGAUAUGUAGUUUUUAUGACUGUUAGAAAUAAUUAUUAAUUUCAAGAAAUACAAUAAUAUAAUGUUUUGCAAGGGGAGCAAAAACAAUAAAGGAGAACAGCGACAUAUAUUUUGGGUAGAUUAUAUGUAUUUUAAAAUAAAUUGUUUGAUAUCCAGUGUUGAAA